AAUUAACACGGGGGAGGCACCCCUCCGUCUCCCACUUCCACCCACACCCCCAUCCCUCCACCCCCUCCGCUUUGCAGGAAAAAGCCUGGAUGCGAAAGGAUGGGGGAGAACAAAGAGCCUUUGGAAGACGUCGCUGUUAUCUCAUUGUCUGUGUGAUUGGGGGAGCUGCGGCGGGGAGGAUGCUGUGGUCCCUUCCUCCGGCGUUCCCCACCCCCAUCCCUCUCCCCGCUGUCAGUGCGCACGCACACGCGCCGCUUUUUAUUUCUUUUUCCUGGUUUUCUUAUUCCAUCUUCUACCCACCCCUCUUCCUUUCUUUCACCUUUCCUUCCUUCCUUCCUCCUUUCCUUCCUCAGGAGAAAGGCCUCUCUCUCCGUGUUCACAGCGGACCUUGAUUUAAAUGUCCAUACAAUUAAGGCACGCGGUGAAUGCCAAGAAUGGGGCUGGCUGAGCACCGUGGGUCGGCGAGGGCCCGCCAAGGAAGGAGCGACCGACCGAGCCAGGCGCCCUCCGCAGACCUCCGCGCAGCGGCCGCGGGCGCGAGGGGAGGGGUCUGGAGCUCCCUCCGGCUGCCUGUCCCGCACCGGAGCCCGUGGGGUGGGGAGGUGUGCAGCCUGUGACAGACAGGGGCUUAGAGAUGCAAACAGACUCAGGGAGAGAAACAGAAGCUGAUUCUGUGACAGAAGCAGAUCUGUGCAGCACAGAUGCGGUGUGCGUGGGGAGGGGGUCGCCUGGGAGCGCAUUGCGGAGUGCUUGUGUGUGCAGAUUUUUCUCUGGGCUCAGGACUCAUUGUAUGUGGGUCAACACCUUCCUCCGUGACUGUGUUUUUGUUCUGAGCUGAGUUUUUUGGUUUGCCCUUAAAAAAAUAAUAAUUUGGCAUCCAGAGACUGGCAGACUGCCUCAGGGCCUGGACUGCGGAUAUAUUGUGUUCUGCUUGAGGUUUGGGGAGGAGGGCAGGCGGUAGGAAGGGAGAGGGGGAGCUGUUUGUCACACUUUGCUGUAGAGCUGAGAGCACCUGACAAGCUUAAGGAAGUCGUUGGGCUAUGUGGACAAGAAGGAGCCAGCUCCCAGCGGGUUCACAAGCUCUAUCGGAGUUGAAAGCGUGGUCAUGGCUCUAAGGAGCACCUCACGCCCUCCCUGUAGCUGUUAUUGCAGUUUCAGGCAGAGAUCCAGGAGCUGCAGAGGAAGGGAGAGGCACAAUAACCUACAUGGACCCAAGGGAGACAUGUGUUCCUUUAAAAAUGUGAACAGAAGGAAAAACAGAAUGUGUGCAACUGGGGGUCUGAGGAAAGACUGUUUUGAAAGAGGCUGUCAGGGAAUGGAAAGGGUUAAGCUUUUCAUCCUGAAGAACCUGCUUCCCAAAUCAGGCCUUCCUCCCAUCACUAGACCCUGAGCAGCAGCUGGUCCUAGAGACCCCCCUCGUACUGCGCUGCCACAGUCUCAUCCCAUUUCCAGCUCUGUAUUAACCACCAAGCUGCAGCGGAUGGGGCAAGACCUAAGCUCAUUAAUUUCCAGGUGGAGGAAAUGGAGGAGGGGCAGGUCCCUGCAGUAGAGGGAGGAGCAGAGAAAGGAGGCCAAGAGCUGGAUCCUUCUGCCCAGGAAGCCUGCUGCAUCCCUUCCCCCGAGCAUGGCAGAGGCCUGGCUUUGCAAGGCCAAGGCCAUAAGGGAUGCUUAGGAGAUUAAUUUGAUUCCUGACACAAUAAUCAAGCCCUAAGAGUCUCCACUGAAGCUUACUGAGGACUUCUUUCCUCUCCAAAGCCUCAGUCUAGCCUGCUAAAUAAAUUAGUAUUCAGUGAUGCCUUGGAUCAGGGCCCCUCCCCGGCCUCAGUUUCCCCAAAUAUUUAUUAAGUACCUACUGUGUGCAAUCCUUGUGUAAUUAUUAACUCUUAGGCUCUUCAUUUGCCCUCCUAAAGCAGUGUUUAGAGUCAGGCAGAGGUUAAGUGUGUUGCACCUCACCUAGAUACUUCCAGAACCUUCUCUGGGUCUGCAGAAUGUGGCACAACCUGCUUGCCCCCGCAGAGAGAAAGCUGCAGUGCACAUCCUGCAGACUGCAGGUGCUGGGCUGCCUCUGGAGUCCCAGAAGGCAAGCUUGGCUGCAGGACAGAAAGGGAGAACAGCUUCUCUCACCCCUGAGCCUUCACAAGCCCUUGUCUAUUUGCCGUUGCCUUCAAAAUAUACCUCCCCCGAAACCAGUAGCUUUCUGAGUCCUGGUGUCCCCUCCGCCCUUUCUGGACAGGUUUGGGAAGAAGAAAGCAGUCAGUGCUGGGCCUUAUUGGGGUGUGAAGCGCCUUGCUCUGCCCCUUCUGCUCACUGUGAAGGCCGCUGGAUGCUUCUCUUAGGCAUGGUUUAAGCCUCCGAUUACUAAACCCCUUGCCCCACAAACGUCCACAUUGACGAGCCUCUUUUUAGUAACUGCUUCCCCGUAAUUCCUUCAGAGGUUGCUGUACCCUUCGCUGAUGUGCUGCCCUCCUGUAAAACCUCCAGAUGCCUUCCCACGUAAUGCCCCUUUCAGAUGCUUUAAGCUGAGAGCUUAAACCACAGGUACCAUGGCUGACGCCUGCCAGGUUUCUGCUGCAGAUAAUCUAUGAUGGGAGGGGCAUAUUUUUUACUUCAUUACUUAUGUAAACUCUUGUUCCAGAAAGCUUUAAUGUGUGUGGGAGUGUUCUGGGUCUAUUAGGUCUGUGCGCAUGGGUGUGGGCAUUUGCCUGUGUCCACCGGGUGGGUCUCAUUAUGAAAUGUAUGUUUAUGUAGGGCUUUAAUGGCUGAAAAUGGCAAAGAGAUGAAUAGACCACUUGGCCCCAUGUGUAAUUGCCAGGCCCCUUCUGUGCUCAAAUGAGGUGUCCGAGUGAAGGUCAGCCCUUCCCUUCUGUAUUUGGGGCCUAUUUAUGCCACCAGUAAUUUUAUAAGAAAUCUGAAUAGUUCUCCCCUUUGAGUGCAUUUAACUCUUUAGUAUCUUCUCUCUUACCUAUUUGAGCCCCUCUAGCUACAGUCUGGCUUAAAUGAAAGGGGAAUUAUAUGCUUAAGAAAAAGUAGGACACGGUUGAGGCAGUUUGCUGACUGAAUACGCGAAGAAGGACCUGAUGGGCUCAUAUGCACCACUGCCAUCACAGUCCCCAUCGUGAUGCAAGCUUAUAUGAUUCUUGAGGUAACUCUACCAGAUACUUCCAGAUUUAGAAAUGUGUCAAAGGAAAAAUUGGUGAUACUCUUCUUUCCCCUGCCAGAAACAGCCCAGAUCUCCUCUUAAGCGGAAAAGAGAUUGACCUUCUAGCAGAGGCAAAGGUAAACUCCUGUAAGUUACUUCUGUUACCAAAGGGAGGGGGGCGGCUUUUGUGAAUGUAUGAGGAGCUUUUGCCAGAGAGAUAUUCGGAGGAGGGGUGUGCCCAUAUGCACACAUAUAUUUUCCCGCAUAACCGUAUCCAAUGCUAGCAUUUAGAGGAAGGCAUUUAGCCACCAAAAGUCCAUCCAUCUAUGCUGCUUCCACAGAGAAAACAUUUUCUCUUUCCUCCUCUUGAACUUACAUAAUAUCCUCCUCCCAUUCCAACCUUAGAAUGGAGUCUUCUGGGGGCAGCUGCAAAGCGUUCUCCCUAGGACAGAUGGAGCCUCCCUUUCCUCAUCUACUCUGUGGGUGGUUUCAGGGCCCACGAGUCAACAUGAGGAGUUGUGCUGGUGGUAUGUGUGUUGGAGGCUGGGCUGGCUGAUUCACAGUGACGAGGAUGUCAAUAAUAACAAGAAUGAGAAUGAUGGUACCUAAUAAAGACUUUUUUUCCCAAGUCCCAUCUACAAUUCUUUCAUUGGGUGUUUUGCCAAGUCUUUCUCAAUCUCAUCUCAGCUUUUUUUUUUUUUUUAAAGAAAAUGUAUUCAAUACUUAAUUGCAUCACAAAUGUAGACAUAGAAGAAAGGACUUCAAACGGAAUUUAUGGGAGGCAAUGUGUGCGGCUUUUUGCCUUAUAGAGCUGUGUAGAAGGUCUGGAAUGAUCUUCCAGCACCAAAUUUAGAUGGCCUCAAAAAAAAAAAAAAAAAAAAAAAAAUCAGGCCUUAUUGAGGGCAAGGAAUGUUCCAGGUCAGAAAUAAAAGUGUCAGCAACUCUCAAUAGGUUCAUCUUUUUAUUUCCUGUCCUUCUCCCUUUUGUCUUAAAAUAGAAACGCUACCAAGACCUGAGGGCCUGGGUCAGGGGCCGGGAAGCCCAGAAAACAAACUUCCAGAAUCACUAAGGGCUUUCUCUCUCAAAAUUACAGUGGGAGGGUUCUUUUGAAAUUCAAAUCCAACCUAUUUGUUGCUUAAGCACACACAAAAUACUGAGACCUGGGGUCCAAGAGGCAAUACUUCCGCUGCAAGUGCAUGUUGCAACUUCGCGUGAUGUUCCCAGGGCGGUUCUGCGGCAACUUGCGGCUCCGCGACUGUGGGCGCGGGCCCCAUUUCGGGCCCCGUCGGCCGGGACCGCGCCCAGGGCUUCUCAAGUGACUCGCUUCCCAGCACGCAAGAGGCAUUCUCGUCUCUUUCUCUUCGAAUGCACCCGAGACUUCUCCAUGAAGCAAGGAGAAGAUGAGCAGGCGCUGGUUUCCCUUUUCUUUUUUGCUCCCAUUUCCCAGUCUUGAUUUUUUUUUUCCCUUUCUCUCUCUCUCCCGAAUCAUGCAGACCUGGAACUCCUAAGAUUCGGGUCCUCCUGCAGUUCCCAAAGCUUUGGAUCCAUCCGAGGUGUGGGUAGAUGCGGGUUAGUCUCAGGGUCUUUCUAGGAUGAGCCCCAAGCCCAAGUUCUAAGGCGAGGGGGAGGCGAAGAGGUCAGGGCUACAAACGCCAGGGACUGUCCCCGGAGAGGUCAUUUUUCCAUUUUCCAUGCACAUCGAUUUCACUCUAGCGCCAGAUGGACACUCGACGGUCAACGUUAGAGAUUUUUCCGGAGUCGGGGGCAGGAAGCGGGACGAAUUGAGACGAGGGUACAUCCUUUGCUUCCAAGGGUGGCCGAGCCAGACCGAAGGCCUGGGCGGGAGGUCACGUCCUCCCCUGGCCACCCACAGCGCUCCCCAGCCGCAGGCCUGGGCCUAGAAGCCGCGCCCUCCCGGCCGUGCAGCCGGUCAGCCUGUGCGCCCGGCGCCCGCAGUGCGGCUCCGGGCCUCUCUCUGAUCCACUUCAGUACCUGCGGCCUCGAGGACCCCACCGUGCAUCCCGGAAAGCCUCAGAACUUGCAAGAAAGAGGGGCUGGCAGGUGCAGCCUGGGAAGAGGACCCCGCCGCGAAAGCGCUUGGGGGUUGGGUUUUAUUUGCUGGAGUGGGGGGUCCGUCUCAGUGCAUCCUCCUGGAUUCCCCAUUAGGACGCCCCGCCCAUACAUCCAGCCUCCUCUCCCGGAUACCCCCAGUGACCCGGCCAGGGAGCGGGCAUCUUCCCCCAGGACCCAGAGACGUGUCCUCGCCAUCCCCAAACACCGUCCUUCCCCACCCCCGCAACCCUCUCCACAGAAGCCAAAACCACAACAAAAAUCUUCAACCCACAAAGAAAAAGACACAUUCCUCCUUCGGCCUUAGUCAGCGUUAGUUCCAGAUCCGAAGCCGGAGGGGACGGAGCCGCUCGAAGUCGGUUGGAAGGAAGGCGCAGAAGGCUCUUUCUGUCUCCAUGAAUCUCCUUGCAAAUGCAACCGCUGCUGCCAUUAGGACGCGGUCUCUGUUUGCAAAAAAAACUCAAUUCCUUCCAUUUCCUCAUCUGUUGGGUCCAUCAGCGUGCAGUGAGUGAUGCAAGGUCCCUUUGGGUCAACAGGCCGUCCCCUGAAAUAACUUUCAGAGCCCUGGCCUCAAGGUCAUGGGCCGGGUGGCCUCUACAGGCCACAGGUCAGGACCAGGAUGUGCCUGACUGAGGCUGUGCCACCGAGAGCUUCGGACGUGCAGAAAGGUGCCCUGAGCUGCACGGGGGGCUUCUGUCAGCCCCCUCCCACUCUACACAGAUUGAUGUGGCAAUAUUUAUUCCCAUUUAAUUGAGACACUGGUUUAAUUUCAGAUUGCUUCGGCUUAAGGCCCAAUGGGGUUUUCUGCAGCUCUUUUCCCCAGUGCCUCUACAGAAAUUAAUUGCUGUUAAUAUCCAAUUUUGGCUUUAUUAUUCGUUAGCCAAUUAUGUAUCCCAUAGCCCAGGCCCCUUGCUGCUCUCAGCCUUUGCUGGAAUCAGCUCACACUAUGCCGGGCUUCUGCUUUUCUGCCUUCCCCUCUAUUCAAACUCUGUCCUCCCAAGAUGAUUUACCGGCCCGUCAGGCAUUUUGCUUGUGUCCCAGCGCUAGCUGAGCUGGCGGAGGUGUCUUUAAGACGUUUUCCCCCUUUUGAGGGAAAUGUCUUCUUUGCAGUGGACAUAAUUUCCAUUUAAAAAGGAAUCUAAGCUUCUCCACUCUCGCUUCACUAUCCUAAGAUUUGCUUUCUCUGGAGCCAUUUUUGGAGAGCAGUUUUCCAUCAAAAGCAAGCAAGGUGCCCCGGCAUCAGGGCUCCCCUCCCCACCUCCCUAGGAGCCCCUCCGAGACUGUCUUAAAGCCACCACAUAUACAUAACACCAUAGAUUCAAACAGGGUGCUUGGAGGAUGUCAUUCCACAUUUCAAGGAGGGAAACUUGAAAAAGCACUAUUUUCAGAGAUGAGGAGGGCAGCUCUCCCCUCGUCCCCCACAGAGGCCCUGGAAACCAUUCCAGCCUUGCACUGCGCAACCCUGCUUGAUGGAGCUGAUGCAACUGGGGGCGAGAGCCUUUAAAAAGUGUUCUUUUGCCUUGGUUUUUUGUGCCUUGAGUUCACAGAAGCAAACACUUCCCAUCACUGGUGCUCUGGAAACAGAAACAUACAAUUCCGUAACAACCUGCGCAGUGUCGGCAUCAGAACCGAAUGCAGAGAAAACAAAACGUCAGAGCCGCUGGCUUGGACUGCGGCCCCUACAGAUGAAGCCCGAGCCUUCUACUCCUACCUCAGCAUCUUGCCGCCUUCAUGUGGACAAUUAAUCAACAGCAACAGCAUAGUGUGAAGUAGAGAUAGAGUCUUGAUAUGUUCCCCAGGCUGCUCUGGAAUUCUUGGACUCAAGCAAUCCUCCUGACUUGGCCUCCCAAAGUGCUGGGAUUACAGGCUCCUAUUCCAAAUCGGAUGAAGCACUGAAAACAAAGCACUUUCACAUCCUUCACCCUGAUCUGUAGCAUAUUCUUCAGAACUCUUAUGAUUUCAAGUGACAGAAACCCAAUCUGAACCAGCUGAAACACUCAGAGGCAUUUAGUAUCUCAUGGAACCCAGUGCCCCAGGGACAGGCGGAAACGCUGACUUGAACAUCUCUUUCUGAGUUUCUCAUCUCAGCGCCUCUCUGCAGAUGUUGAAAUCUUCUUUUUUUCUGCUAACUGGCCUCUGCUUCCCAGGUUCACAGCAAGAAACAUGGCCAUUGGGAUGUCCCAAGCUUUGCAUUUUAUAGCCCAGCUUAGGUCAGGUGGCCACCCCUGUGCCAGUCAACUUGACCGAAUGGAUGGAAAACCUCAACUGAUCAAGCUGGAGUUAAGUGCAUGCAGGGAGCACCUAUGGUAACUGCGGAUGGCAGGGAGGGCAGCCACCUAGAAAAAGGUACUGCUGGCCAGGUAAGACCACAGGUAUCCACAACUACCACCAAUCUGCUGUGAACAGUUCCUCUGAAGUUGUGCAAUAAGCAAGCCGUGUGAUGCUGGUCUUGGUAGAAUAUCUUAUUUCUAAACUCCAAACCAUCAGAUUGGCCUCUACCUCCCCAUUUGCCCUCCUCAGAAGAUCUUGACACCCAAGUUCACCCCAUCCUCUGGAGUCCUGUGGUUUGAAAUACUGACCAUUUGUCCCAAUCCUGGAGCCAAGGUCCCAGCAUGCUCUGUGUCCAAGUUCAGAUUACCACAAAAGCUGGUUGUGAAGACCACAAGUUGUUACCUAUUUGUUUUUUAACCAGUUGUAUAUACAACAUUUGGUGCUUUUCACAACACCACACUACCUCUGUCUUACUGUACUGUUUCUCUCCCUAGCAAGCUACCAACAUUUCCUCUCUCCUCCCUAAAACAUGAAAAAAGGAGAGAGAGAGAGAGAGAGAGACGCAGGUAAUGCCUAUACUCUCAUCUCCUAAGGGGUCCUUGAGACAAUGGAUUCCAAAGAGCAGUUUGGAACAUGAAGAAAACCCCAAUGGGGAGGCCCUGCUCCCAAGUCUCACUAAUUCUGGAUUUAAUUCUCCCCUGUGGGCCAGGUGGUGAAUUAGUGGCCCUCCCACCCUACCUUCUGUUUUCUAUGAUCUCGUCUCAUCUAAUAAAGGCUCCAGAUCUGAAAGUCUCUGAGACCAGAACCUUAGUCCAAUUAAACCCUGCUAAAGCAAACAAACUUGGGAAAGACAAAGAGGUGAAGAGGUUAACAGCAGACAAAACCUCCACUGACAAGCUAAAUUAGCCUUGCCCACCUCAGGAGAAGGUGUAAGGUGGACAGCGGAGACUGCUGGUAGUGAUUAACAUUUGCUCGAAAUUCUAAGGAGCUAAUUUUUUUUCCAAGUUAAAUGUUAACCUGUGAAAAGAGGAACAGUAACUAUGCGAAGAGGAAUGUGAAGAAGAAAACAGAAAGACCAGCCUGCUGGGUGGAUGUCUUCCUCCCAAAGUAGUCGAGACCAGGGAUUCUGAGGAAUAGUUUUCCAUUUAUCCUUCAUCAUCUCCAUUCAACAGGGCCGCUGAGCUCCAGAUGAGCAUGGAAAGAUGGAGGAGCUGCCAAACCUGACUUUGGAGGCCCUGGUCAGGAGCCCGUUGGAGGCCUUCCAGUUUUACACCCUUUGUGAAUUUGUCCGUGGGGUGGGUUUGUUCUGAUGCCAUGAGUAGCUUCCACUGGAAAAGGCACCAUCUCCACCCAACAUUUUAGGUAUGCUGGUGCAUUGGGAGGACAUUCUUGGUGCCAAUAAUCGUCUGAAGAUUCUUUGCUAUCCUUUGGUAGAGGCUCUAUUUACCACAAUGAAGAGUAGAAAGAUUAUGAUGUGAGUGUGUUUUGGUGUGUGUGUGUGUGUGUGUGUAUGUGUGUGACUAUUAGUGAAAACUGCUAGUAGUAUGUCAGUGUGGAGAGAAAUUCAGUCCUCCCGCAAGUGGUGAGGCUCAAUAUUAAGGGACAGAACAUCAGUGAGCACCACAUUAAGGCACUAUUCUCGACAUCUGGGAAGAAGCAAAGAAAAAUGUGUCAUGCCUCUUACCUUUUAGGGACUUAUAAUACAGGAAAGAGAAGACUUGUAUAAAUGGCUAAAAAUAUACUGAGGAGUAUAACUAAUAACUAAUGCAGAGUGUGCUGGUAAAAGGUUGUGUGGGUUCAGGAAUGUCAAAAGUUGCAGCUGCUGUGAAAGCCAAUAUGGCGGGUCCUCAAAAAAUUAAAUGUAGAAUUACCAUAUGACUCGGCAACUCCACUUCCGGGUAUGUUCUUAAAACGAUUGAAAGCAGAGACUCAGACAGAUAAUUGCACACCCAUGUUCACAGCAGCAUUAUUCACAAUCGCCAAAAUGUGGAAGCAACCCAAGUGUCCACUGGCCAAUGAAUGAAUGAGUAAAACAUGCUAUGUAUCAACAGUAGAAUAUUAUUCAACCUUAAAAGGAAACAAAUUCUGGUACGUGUUACAACAUAGAUGAACCUUGAGUGGAAGAAGAAAACAGAAAGAGCAGUCCGCUGGGUGGAUGUCUUCUUCCCAAAGUAGUUGGGAUCAGGAAUGCUGAGAAACAAUUCCCCAUUCAUCCUUCAACAUCUCCAUUCAACAGGGCCACUGAGCUCCAGGAUGAGCAUGGAAGGAUGGAGGAGCUGCCAAGCUUGACCUUGGGGACCCAGGUCAGGAGCCUUCUGGAGACCUUCCAGUUUUAUGCCCUUCGUGAAUUUGUUUGUGGGAUGAACUCUAUGAAGUGAACUAAACCAAUCACACACAAAAAAUAAAACUGUA
This 9892-nucleotide long non-coding RNA is filed under the name Homo sapiens (human). RNAcentral's name for it is "HSALNT0345130". The stretch from base 365 to 437 matches the Rfam family "mir-124 microRNA precursor family". Lineage: Eukaryota; Metazoa; Chordata; Mammalia; Primates; Hominidae. The record is from RNAcentral.